UUAAUAUAAUCACCAUGGUUUCUUUAAUUUUUUUGCCACAUUGUUGUGUAAAUAACAAGAAGUCGUUUAAAAAAUAACUAUUUUUACAAUCGGUAUUUUGUCAUUAACACAUUUCUGUGAACCAUGGUCUGAAUCGUACAACAACAAUAUUGUUGUACAUCAAAUCAAAUUCAAAACUCCACAUUUGCGUGAUAAGUGAAAUGCUUCAAAUAAACUUGAACUGGCCGGAAACGUUACAAGAUUUUAUGUAAAUCUUGCACUAUCAGCCGUCUUGAUUUGAUCUUUGUGCUGUUUUCUUAUUUAAAUAUUGUUGAGCACGUGCUAGAGGAAUUCAAACAAUGCAUAUGACUUUUGGACUUUAAAUUCUCUACGAUAUUUUUGUCUUUUUUUUUGACAGCCAUGCUUUUUAGUGAGUUUGAGAUAGUGUAAAAUACAGUGAAGAUAUGUUCGCUAUGAGAGGCCUUCAUGAUCUCGUGCAUGCACUUAAAUAAUAACAGUGAAAUUUAUGAAUCUUUGUAGUAUUUGAUAUUGUGAUGAUCGAUGAUGUGUACAGAAAGGUCUAUAGUUCCUAGAUAGACAUAAACGAAGAAAAAACUAAGCAGUCACUCUUUUUCGUUUAUUUAAAAAACAGAAAGCUUUACUGAAUAGUUUUAGCGUUAUUUAAACUCGAGUUUGAAAAUGAAAUACUAUCUUUGUAAACUCAGAUGUCACUCCUCUUCACCGGCUGUUCCUCAUAUAUAUGUAUAAAUGUAUAAGUGUUUUUGUACAAGUUAAUUUGUGUUUGUUUGUAGUUAAAAUGAUUUUGUUAUAACAUUGGCAAUGGUUGCAAAUACAAAGAGAAAAUUUUGUUUUUAAUAUUGUAGUUUAGUUGUAAUGAUGCAACCCAUAUCUUUGUAUUACACAAAUUCAAGCAUGCGUACGAUUAAAAGUGCACAUUUCCCUUUUUUUGUUAACUAAAACAUUUUAAAACGAUGCCCUGAGCCCAAGUCCUACAAUCUUUUGACAACGCCAAAUUAGAUGCGUUUUUGCCAAAAUGUCUAUUCGUUUUAGUUUAUAGGGACAUUUUUGUUAGUUAUUUUGAAAUGUUUUACCAUCAAACAUCAAAGACUCUUUUUUCCUUUUUCACAUCAAGUACUCUAAGAUGACAACUUGUUACUUUCACAUCUAGUUCCUCCAUUUAUUUUUGUCGUAGAGUUUUAGGAAGUGUUACGAUAUUCAAGCGCUAUCCGCUUUCUACACAGUAUCUUUUUAUUGAACAAUAUUCGUUGCAUUUUAAUGUAUAUUUGAACCUGAGCCAAAUUGUAAUAAAUAUUAUUGUAUUAUUGUACUAUGCAUCAUCGAACGUGAGUAUUAUUCGCCUGACUAUUCUUCUUGUGUACUGAACAUAAACUAUUUUAAGGAAAUCCAAUGACAACGCAACUCUGACCGGCAGCAUGCCGUUAUAUAUGCAUAAAGUAAGCGAUCUGUUCCAUUUUGAUUUCCUGUAGGUAUCAGUAACUUCACUUGUCUUUUAUUAAAUCAUAAUAAACUAUUUCGAAUAAUUUAAUCAAUAAACUUCAAUUGUGGCUAGACUUGCUCCAUGAUUUCAUACGUAGUCGACAUUUGUAUCGGUUUGUGCUUUUCACGGAUUAUUAAGAAGAAUGAAUAUUAAAACAACAAACUUAUGUAAAAUUUAAAAACUUACUGUUAUGUGAUUUAAGGUUAUAUUCACUGUAUUCAUAUUUAAGGUGUGCCAAUUUAAUGCUCAAGUGUGUUUUGUCUA
Molecule: long non-coding RNA, 1762 nt
Organism: Xenia sp. Carnegie-2017
Lineage: Eukaryota; Metazoa; Cnidaria; Anthozoa; Malacalcyonacea; Xeniidae
Exons: 2
Source: RefSeq, a predicted model, not a curated record